RNAcentral lists this ribosomal RNA (324 nucleotides) under uncultured Spirochaetota bacterium. RNAcentral's name for it is "bacterial SSU rRNA". It matches the Rfam family "Bacterial small subunit ribosomal RNA", at positions 29 to 351 of the family's 1533-position model. Lineage: Bacteria; Pseudomonadati; Spirochaetota. The record is from RNAcentral.
AACGAACGCUGGCGGCGUGUCUUAAGCAUGCAAGUCGAGCGGCAAGGGCAGCAAUGCCCCUAGAGCGGCGGACUGGUGAGUAACACGUGGGUGAUCUACCUCGGGGUUGGGGAUAGCCAUUAGAAAUAGUGGGUAAUACCGAAUACGCUGCCUUGACUACGGUCAGGGCAGGAAAGGCGCUACGGCGCCGACCUGAGAUGAGCCCGCGCCCCAUUAGCUAGUUGGUGAGGUAACGGCCCACCAAGGCUAUGAUGGGUAGGCGGCCUGAGAGGGUGUACGCCCACACUGGGACUGAGAUACGGCCCAGACUCCUACGGGAGGCUG